GACAGAGGGUGCAAACGUUGUUCGGAGUUAUUGGGCGUAAAGCGCGCGCAGGCGGCCUCGCGCGCCCGACGUGAAAGCCCCCGGCUUAACCGGGGAGGGUCGUUGGGGACGGCGGGGCUUGAGGGCGGGAGAGGGCGGUGGAAUUCCCGGUGUAGUGGUGAAAUGCGUAGAGAUCGGGAGGAACACCUGUGGCGAAGGCGGCCGUCUGGGCCGAUACUGACGCUGAGGCACGAAAGCGUGGGGAGCAAACAGG
This 253-nucleotide ribosomal RNA is filed under the name uncultured bacterium. RNAcentral describes it as "partial 16S ribosomal RNA". It matches the Rfam family "Bacterial small subunit ribosomal RNA", at positions 524 to 776 of the family's 1533-position model. The record is from RNAcentral.